GUUUAUUCGAUGAGUGGAUUAUCACAUCUCUCUCAAUCUCUGAAUCUUGCUAAAGUGGGAGGAAGAUUUUAUUCUCUAUCCAUAUGCUGGAUUAGAGAAUGAAUUUGCUACUUAUUCUACUUUGCAUUUAAUUUGCUACUUUUAUAUGUUGGAUAGUAUUUAGGAAUUAUUGCUUCUUGUAUUCAACUGAUGCAAGGAUAAUGCUCAAUUUUGUAGUGUGUUAAUUUGAUUGAUGAUGUAUGUUUGCUUCUUCUAUUCACUUUUCUUAUCUCUGGAAAUCUCCCCAUAACCAUGGUGAAAACCGAUUACAAAUGGUGGCAAAGAACAAAGCAAGGAAAAGUUGAUCUUUAUGAUAACAUAUGUUGAAAAAGAAGAUGGUUCAAGCUUGAAGAUGUGAUGUGUGUGUUGAUGGACCGCCUGAAAGGCAGAAUUUGAAAGAUGAGGCAAAUAUUUUACAACAAACUAUAGUUGUCGAAUAUGUAAGUUGAAUACUUUCGAUUUUAUACUGAGUAAACUUAUUAAUUUUGUUAUACAUGUGAAUUUAUAUUAACACAUUGACUGUGGAUUGUGACACCAUAUUUUAGAUAUGUACCUCAUUGUCCUCCAAGAGAGAGCUCAAGUCUUAAGAUAUGUACCUCUGAUUGAUUUACAGGAUUUGGUUGUUGUAAUAUUCUUUAUUUCAAAAAAUUAUUUAAUAUUGUUAUUUAUAAUUUUGUCCUUGGGAAAUAAAAAAAAAUCUGGUCCUAUCUUGUAGGGAAUAUUGAUUACUUGAAAUCACAUACUAGGUGGCGUAUGAAAAACUCGAAGAAUAUGGAGAGAAAAGUUGAGGUGUACAGAGCAUUUGCUUAAAGCCAACAUGAUUCGUUUCAGGGUAAGUUUUUAGAGCAACAAGUAGAGUUGGAAGAUAAAUAUCAGAAACUUUAUGAACCACUUUACACAAUGGCAAAUGAUGAUGCAAGUAUGACUGAUACACCUUUGGGUGCACGAGGAUCAUUUAGAGUUAACAACAUUUAUGAUAUUUGCUAUGUAUUUUGUUGUUAAAGUGCCGUAUGAGAUUACUUUUAGUUUUUUG
Molecule: non-coding RNA, 1072 nt
Organism: Lupinus albus (white lupine)
Lineage: Eukaryota; Viridiplantae; Streptophyta; Magnoliopsida; Fabales; Fabaceae
Source: the annotation of a GenBank genome assembly